RNAcentral lists this transfer-messenger RNA (91 nucleotides) under Alphaproteobacteria bacterium. Its description in RNAcentral is "partial transfer-messenger RNA". It matches the Rfam family "Alphaproteobacteria transfer-messenger RNA", at positions 242 to 338 of the family's 355-position model. Rfam says of the family: Bacterial tmRNA, also known as 10Sa RNA or SsrA, is named for its dual tRNA and mRNA-like properties. Its role is to liberate the mRNA from a stalled ribosome. Lineage: Bacteria; Pseudomonadati; Pseudomonadota; Alphaproteobacteria. The record is from RNAcentral.
AUGAUAACUCUGCGGGCGAAGCCCGCCUCGCUGCUUAAUCUGAUUAAGUAAGCGCGGUUCGGGGGGCACCGGGCAACAGAAGCCCCCCACU